ACAAAGACCAACUCUUCUACCAAAAAAAUCAUUUGGUAUUUUAACUCCACUACCUAAUGAAGAACCAACACCUAAAAGAACAAUUUCUGUUGAAGACAAGUCUACGCCACAACGUAAGAAUUUCUUCUUCUACCAAAGAAAACAAACACUACAAGAAAUUGGAUAAUUAGUGGUGACAUUUAGCAGCAACCCCAUAAGUUGCUACAAAUGUAUAUUAUCAGCAGCGACUUUAAAAGUCGCCACAGUUUGUUUAUAUUUUGCAGCGACUAUUCGUAGGUCGCCUCUAAAAGUGGCUGAAAUUUUCACUCUUACUAAAAUUAAAAUUUUGGCUCCAUAUUUAUUGUGGCGACUUUUGUGAAGUCGCCGCUAAAUAUGUAUUGCAGCAACUGGGUUGCUCCUAUUCCCUUUUAAAAUAACAAAAGAAAAUAAUUAGUAAAUGAAACACUAAAAUUGGUCCAGAGACAGAAGCAGCGAAACUCUCAUCUCUAACACAUCGAGUCGAUGUAAAGAACAGUGAAGCGCCCAAAAUCGGUCCUCUAUAGCUAGAAAUCCCAAAUCGCAACCCUAAAUCGGUCCUCUCUAGGUAGAAAUCUGUCCAGAUAAUAGAAAUCCCAAAUCGAAAUCCCUUAAAAAUGUUACCCAAAUCGAAAUCCCUCAAAUCAGAAUGUGAAUUCGAUUGGGUAUUUAUGAUACUUGCCGGACACUUCAUUUUGAAGCUAAAUCUUAAGAUUGGAAGCUGGAUUUGUGAAUCGAGUUGUGCGAAGAAGUUGUUGCCGGGUUUGAAUUUGUGUAUAGAGUUGUGUGAAGAAGAAGACCACUAUGGACUUUCGAUUCAAAGCUUCUUCAACUUCAAGUAUUCAAGAACUUGUACACAGCUGCGGAAGUCGGCAAAGGACAAGAUAAUAUAGAAGUGAAAUUUUAAAAACUUAGAUAUGAUGGAUAAAAGUUGGUUGAAUAUUAGGAAUAGAGUCGACCAAAGAUACAGAGAUGGAGUAGACAACUUUCUUAAUUGGAAAUUCAGUCAACCAACGGUGAACACUAUGAUUCGGUGUCCUUGACAAUAAAUAGUUCUGAAACACGGAGAAGUAAUGUGGUUAAAGGUCAAGGAUAAGUUUGAAGUUUGCAGCGGGUUGCGAGAGCAUAGGUUUAAGGUCUUUGUAAUUAGCACUAUGUAAAGGCUUUUUAGAGCAUGAAAAGCUCGACUCAACAUUCUGCACUCUAAGUACAAUACUAAUGAAGAAAGAUUGUCUCAUCAACCUGAAGAUGUUGAGCUUGAGGACUGGAAAUACCUAAUACAAUAUUUUGGAAGUCCGGAAUUUAAGAGAAAUCCUAUUACUGGAGAAUUGGACACACCAGAUAAAGUUUUAGAGAUCCAACAUACACGCAAGGAUGAUAGAGGCGAACUGGUGUGGUUGGAUUCACAAUCCCAACAAAUUCAUGGUCAACUCUAGGAAGUUGUUGCUCAGCAACAAUCUGAGGAGAUCGAGCAUCCCAUGACUAGAGAUGAAAUUUUAUCCUCCGUUGUUGGUGAGAGAACAUGCUAUGUUCGUGGAAAAGGAUACGGAAAGAAGCCUCCUAAAAAGAGUAACAUUCAGUAGUCAAACAUAGAGGCCAGUGUGUCUUCUGCUAUUGAUAUUGUGCGCCAGGAGAUGCAAGCCGAGAUGGAUAGGAAGUUGAAAGAAGAACAUGAACAAAUGGCUGCUGAGUUGCGAAGAAAUAUGGAAAUUGAGUUGGAAAGGAAGUUGGCAGAGGAGAGUCAACACACAAAUGCAGAAACAGACAAGAGGAUCUCUCUAGAAGUGGAGAAGAAGAUGCACAAAUAAUUUGCUAGUUUCUUGACCAGAAUGCAACAACAACAGCAGGGACAAGACACUUAAACAGUGGUUCAAGCAUGGUGUCGAGCAAGGAGCAGUUACAAGGCACUUAAUAUUUUGUCUUUUUUGGGAUAUGUAUAUGCGUACAAUUACAAUGCACAAUGAAGUGUCGGGUAGUAUAUAUGUAAUUGACUUUUUAGUAAUGAUAAUAUUUGUAAUAUUCGGCUUGAGAAAUU
Non-coding RNA from Nicotiana tabacum (common tobacco), 2050 nucleotides. NCBI's taxonomy places the organism in Eukaryota, Viridiplantae, Streptophyta, Magnoliopsida, Solanales, Solanaceae. The record is from RefSeq and is a predicted model, not a curated record.